GAUGAACGCUAGCGACAGGCUUAACACAUGCAAGUCGAGGGGCAGCAGGGGAGUAGCAAUACUCCCGCUGGCGACCGGCGCACGGGUGAGUAACACGUAUGCAACCUGCCCUUGUCAGGGGGAUAAGCGGAAGAAAUUCCGUCUAAUACCGCAUAAUGCUGCGGGGAGACAUCUCCCUGCAGCCAAAGAUUUAUCGGACAAGGAUGGGCAUGCGGCGCAUUAGCUGGUUGGCGGGGUAACGGCCCACCAAGGCGACGAUGCGUAGGGGUUCUGAGAGGAAGGUCCCCCACACUGGUACUGAGACACGGACCAGACUCCUACGGGAGGCAGCAGUGAGGAAUAUUGGUCAAUGGCCGGGAGGCUGAACCAGCCAAGUCGCGUGAGGGAAGACGGUCCUAUGGAUUGUAAACCUCUUUUGUCAGGGAGCAAAAACUGCCACGCGUGGCAGGAUGAGAGUACCUGAAGAAAAAGCAUCGGCUAACUCCGUGCCAGCAGCCGCGGUAAUACGGAGGAUGCGAGCGUUAUCCGGAUUUAUUGGGUUUAAAGGGUGCGUAGGCGGACAGUUAAGUCAGCGGUAAAAUUGAGAGGCUCAACCUCUUCCCGCCGUUGAAACUGAUUGUCUUGAGUGGGCGAGAAGUAUGCGGAAUGCGUGGUGUAGCGGUGAAAUGCAUAGAUAUCACGCAGAACUCCGAUUGCGAAGGCAGCAUACCGGCGCCCAACUGACGCUGAAGCACGAAAGCGUGGGUAUCGAACAGGAUUAGAUACCCUGGUAGUCCACGCAGUAAACGAUGAAUACUAAUUGUUCGGGUCAAAUGAGAUCUGAGUGAUACAGCGAAAGCGUUAAGUAUUCCACCUGGGGAGUACGCCGGCAACGGUGAAACUCAAAGGAAUUGACGGGGGCCCGCACAAGCGGAGGAACAUGUGGUUUAAUUCGAUGAUACGCGAGGAACCUUACCCGGGCUCAAACGACACAGGAAUGAUCUGAGAAAUCAGGCAGUCCUCCGGGACCUGUGUCGAGGUGCUGCAUGGUUGUCGUCAGCUCGUGCCGUGAGGUGUCGGCUUAAGUGCCAUAACGAGCGCAACCCCCAUCGACAGUUGCCAGCAGGUGAAGCUGGGCACUCUGUCGAGACUGCCGGCGCAAGCUGUGAGGAAGGCGGGGAUGACGUCAAAUCAGCACGGCCCUUACGUCCGGGGCGACACACGUGUUACAAUGGCAGGUACAGCGGGAAGCCACCUGGCGACAGGGAGCGGAACCCGAAAGCCUGUCUCAGUUCGGAUUGGAGUCUGCAACUCGACUCCAUGAAGCUGGAUUCGCUAGUAAUCGCGCAUCAGCCACGGCGCGGUGAAUACGUUCCCGGGCCUUGUACACACCGCCCGUCAAGCCAUGGAAGUCGGGAGUGCCUGAAGUGCGCCCAACCAGCGCCCUAAGGUAAAACUGAUGACUGGGGCUAAGUCGUAACAAGGUAGCCGUACCGGAAGGUGCGGCUGGAACACCUCCUUUCUGGAGAUCCCGGUCGAAGACCGGUCGGAUCACCAAAGAAAAUACGACGCGAAGAUACAACAGAUCGACAGGAGGUCAAUGACCGCUGUUUCGACUGAAGGAUCGACACUGGAGCAGAAUAUCGCUUGAUAUUCCUCUUUACUACUUCGGAAUCUAUUGACCCAUAGCGUCGGAAAGAAUGAUCAGGAUCAUAUCGGACCCGACACACGGGGGAUUAGCUCAGCUGGCUAGAGCACCUGCUUUGCAAGCAGGGGGUCAACGGUUCGAAUCCGUUAUUCUCCACCAGGCUUCAGUGAAGCCGCCAGAACGAGAACAUUGACAUAUUGGAGACUCAAACAAAUAGAAUCCGCUUCGGAUCGGGUCGCGCAGCGACUUGAGAAGAAGUAAGAUUCCACGAGCAAAUCAAAUUUCAUAAUGCAAUUUUUGCCAGAGUAGCCGGCAUGCGCCGCAAGGCGUAUGCGAGGUAAAUUCUACGACGGAAAGAAAAAAAGAAAGGAGAAAAGGGCACAUGAAGGAUGCCUUGGCUCUUGGAGGCGAAGAAGGACGUGAUAAGCUGCGAUAAGCCGCGAAGAGAGGCAAAUACUCAUUGACUCGCGGAUUUCCGAAUGGGGCAACCCGGCACGAGCGAUCGUGUCACCGUUCAGAGAACGGGGCGAACCCGGGGAACUGAAACAUCUCAGUACCCGGAGGAAAAGAAAACAAAAGUGAUUGCGCAAGUAGUGGCGAGCGAACGCGCACGAGCCCAAACCGGAGACGUUGCAAAGCGCCGUCCGGGGUUGUAGGACCGGCGACAGCAUCUAUUGAGGACCGAUAGCCGAAUCUUCUGGAAAGGAGAGCCGCAGCGGGUGAAAGCCCCGUAGGCGAAAUCGGGAAUUGAAGAUCAGCCGGCACCUGAGUAACGCGGAACACGAGAAAUUCUGCGCGAAUCUGCGGGGACCAUCCCGUAAGGCUAAAUACUACCAAGAGACCGAUAGCGAACC
This 2481-nucleotide ribosomal RNA is filed under the name uncultured Duncaniella sp. RNAcentral's name for it is "partial contains 16S ribosomal RNA, 16S-23S ribosomal RNA intergenic spacer, and 23S ribosomal RNA". The stretch from base 1 to 1501 matches the Rfam family "Bacterial small subunit ribosomal RNA". Lineage: Bacteria; Pseudomonadati; Bacteroidota; Bacteroidia; Bacteroidales; Muribaculaceae. The record is from RNAcentral.